Non-coding RNA from Stegodyphus mimosarum, 71 nucleotides. The record is from Rfam. NCBI's taxonomy places the organism in Eukaryota, Metazoa, Arthropoda, Arachnida, Araneae, Eresidae.
GCCUUCGUGGUGUAAUGGUAGUACAUUCGGCGCGUAUUCCAGAGGACCAGGUUCGAGUCCCGGCGAAGGCA